AGCUCUCAUUAGGCCCCACCUCUUAAAGGUCCCCCCAUCUCCCAACAGUGCCCUGGGCUGGGACCACACCUUUAACACAUGGGCCUUCCAGGUCCAUACUAUGGCAAUCAAUAUGCCUCAUCCUCUAAUUCAACAAGACCACUAUCUGCCACAUCAGGUCAGAACUUGAUAUGAUUAGAACAAGGGGAAAACUCAGUCUUUUUCCCUGCUCCCCUUUCUCCAACACUGUAGGGGUUCUAAGGAAGCUUACAUAGCCAAGUCUGUGCAUUCUAAACACUAGCUCCCUAAAGAAUUGGUAGAAGAGAGCAUUCAUCUCCUUGCUUAGCUGCAUGCCCCCUUCUAACACUUGUCCCCCUAGAUAUCUGACUCAUCCUUCUGCCCACCAUACCACUACAUCAGUGGUUCUCAGGCCUUAGAAUACAUAAGAAUGACCUGGAGUAUUUAUUAAAACAUUGCUGCCACACCCCCAGAGGUUCAUAGGUCUGGGUGGUCGCCCUGAGAAUUUGCAUUUCUAAUAAGUUUUCCCAGGUGACACUGAUGUUGCUAGAUCAGGAACCCCAUGUUGAGAACUGAUAAGCUGCACAAUUUCAGGAUGUCAGCUCUGCUACACCAGAGAUCACACCCAGUCUGUCUCCACUCCAAGGACCAGAGUGUAGAACAAGCCAUUCAGUGACCCUAUGAUCUUGGAUAGGCAAAGGUAAAUUGUUUCAAACCCUCCACUCCAGAGGAGCCCAUUGCUCAAUGAACCCUUCUGGGUUGCUUUCCCCAGUAGAGUUGGUAGCAUCUUUGACCUUGAACGAGGCUAAUUAGUAGUGGAGAAAAGCAAUCUCAUUAAUUCAACAAAUAUUGAGUGCCCUCUCUGCUCUGGGAUUUAUGCAUCCUUUUAAUAAAACAGACAAAAAUCACACAUGGAACUUACCUUUUUCUAAUAAAGUAAAAACAAGGCUAUUGUGCUUUAGUAGGACUCAGAUAAUUGAUUACUAGAAGUUCUCAGAAGUAUUUAAUUGACUCAGUUUAUACUUGCUAGAUACAAGGACCAAGAGCUCAGUCAGAGACUGAAUGAAUGCUCCAUUGAGAUGAACUACUACCUAAUACCUUUGUAUUUCACAAUUAUAAUGAACAGAGUGCUUUGCUUUGCUUGAAGAUGAUAAAAAC
RNAcentral lists this long non-coding RNA (1155 nucleotides) under Marmota monax (woodchuck). The record is from RNAcentral. Lineage: Eukaryota; Metazoa; Chordata; Mammalia; Rodentia; Sciuridae.